RNAcentral lists this ribosomal RNA (440 nucleotides) under uncultured bacterium. RNAcentral describes it as "partial 16S ribosomal RNA". It matches the Rfam family "Bacterial small subunit ribosomal RNA", at positions 338 to 795 of the family's 1533-position model. The record is from RNAcentral.
CCUACGGGCGGCAGCAGUGGGGAAUAUUGCACAAUGGGGGAAACCCUGAUGCAGCGACGCCGCGUGAGUGAAGAAGUAAUUCGUUAUGUAAAGCUCUAUCAGCAGGGAAGAAAAUGACGGUACCUGAGUAAGAAGCCCCGGCUAACUACGUGCCAGCAGCCGCGGGAAUACGUAGGGGGCAAGCGUUAUCCGGAUUUACUGGGGGUAAGGGGAGCGUAGACGGCAGUGCAAGUCUGGAGUGAAAGCCGGGGGCUCAACCCCAGGACUGCGUUGGAAACUGGACGGCUGGAGUGCAGGAGAGGUAAGUGGAAUUCCAAGUGUAGCGGUGAAAUGCGUAGAUAUUAGGAGGAACACCAGUGGCGAAGGCGGCUUACUGGACUGUAACUGACGUUGAGGUUCGAAAGCGUGGGGAGCAAACAGGAUUAGAUACCCGGGUAGUC